GAUGACCCACCUGCCUCAGCCUCCCAAAGUGCUGGCAUGAGCCACCUCACCCGGCCUAAGAAGGGAUUUAUUAUAGGGUACUAGGUGGCUUACAGAAUCAUGUGAGGGCUGAAGAAAUGAACUUGAGGUUGAGCUUUCCACAGAAAUUCCCAAAGGCCCACCACAGAACUAAACCACCAAGAGAGCUGCUGCUGCUACGCCUAGGUGGAUGCAGAAUUGCAUUGAUACGACCCUAAUCCUGAAGCCACCGCUUUCAGGGUGCCUUCCCUCCUACUGCUAAUUCUAGAACCCUACUGCACCUGCUGCUAUCUGGACCACAAAAUGUGUGCCUUUUACCCUGCCUCUCAGGAACCACAGAAUAGUGACCAUAUUCUGCAUCCUCUGCUAAUGAUGCCACAGAAGUCCAAGAGCAUCCAUCAGAAAUAGCUGUGGCAGUAGAGGUGUGACCACUGCCAUCGUCCACAUCUCACACUCGGGCAUCUAAUGGCUAAAUCCAAAUCACAUCUGGAAUCCUUUCUCAAGGGAUUCCUGGAAUCAUAGCAUUCAGCUUCCCAAUGAUGGAGGUACAGAAAGGCAUGCUGGAAGAGUGUUUUCCAAAAGUUCUGACAUAUUCUACUGUAGAAUCAUUUUCCUCACACAUACAUACAGUCACAUACGCAUCUACCUGAAAUAAAAGAUUCACAAGACAGUUGAGGCACCCUGAUGGUUUCAAUUCUAGUCUAUGCUGAGCAGUGCUAUGCUAUUCCAUGCUAUUUCAUUCCAUUAAGAAAUGCUGGUCUUGACCCACUAAGUUGGUUUCGUGAUGGACUAAUGGACGAUAACUGGCAGUUUGGAAAAACACUUCACAACAAGAAGGGAGAAAUGGAUGUUGAGUGCCAAUCCACAAUAUCUACGAUACUAUUUUAUACUAUUCCUUCCCCUGUCCUGAAUUGACAGAAAGAAUUCAAGGCUGCUCACAGAAGGGACUCAGUGAUAUGAUAAACUGCAUAGUGAACUGAGGAUCAAAAGUAGCUUCUAGUCCAUGGACCAGCAGUUUAUUUGUUUGUAAAUGAGAGCGUUGUGAUAGUUCUGUGUUGUAAUGACCGGAUUGACACCUACCUAGUAGGAAAACUGAGGGAAAUGUUGACCAGUCUAUACCUUGUACCUUUUACUAGAGGAUGGAUUAAGCCCACGAGGGAGUUUUGAUGGCAAAUGCACUAUGGUGUGCCUUUAGAAGCAACUGUUGUACUCCUGAAAAAUAUUAGUUGGCUUUAGUCCAGUUCCUGGUUUUGCAUGUAGGUGUAAAACUAAUGAUUCAUUCUGAGAGCAUGGGGGUAUAUAUUGAAUGUGAGAAGCAUGACUCAUUCACCUGCCCCAUGUUUGAAAAGCAAUUGUUAAUUACACUGUUAACAUUUGUUAAGACUUUAAUUUCUUCAUGUAGAGCUUUUAGGUAAAAGCUUAUAUUUACCAAUAACUGGGGCUUUCAAUGAGAACUUUUUUCCUGAUGCAGUGCUGGUUGGAAGGUAAUUGGUUUCAAAAAAGAAAAGCCCAUUGAGAAGGCAGAACAAAGAAACGUUUAACACAUGUUUCAUCUGUGCCAAAUAGUACACCAAGCAUUUCCAUGCACAAUCACUCGUGUAGUCCUUACAAUAGCUCUUAAUGAAGAAAUUAUGAUUUUCCUUUUUGUAGAUGAGGGAGAAAGGCUUAAAGAGAUUAAAAGGGAUUCACCCAAGGUCAUUAAACUAGAAAGUGAAAGCAUGGAAUUCACAUUCAAUUUUGGAUGACUCACACCUCCUACUUUUCCUACUGUUCCAGGAUGUCUCUGUUGCUUUCAUUAUUUGUUCAAGGUGAAUAUAAGUCAAAACAAAACCCCUCAACACAAACUUUAUUAGCAAGACGGUAAUUUUUAUCUUUUGGAAAAAAGAGACCUUCUAAUGGGUCCUUCAGCUGCCCAUUUCAUCUCUUCCUUAGCCAUAUUUUCCUCUUUUUAGGACCCUGAUAUCUAAAAGCAACAGAGAAUUGAACAGAUGAUUUGUGGGCAUUAUUUUGGUUUCAUAUCUUUUAUGGUUUUCUUUUGGUUGUGAUUGCAUUUAAGGAAACCGGAAGAAUUUGUGUUAAGGAAAGAAUAUGUUUCCCCAAAGUUCAUAUGUUGAAGUCCUAACCUAGAUGUGAUGGUAUUUGAAGGUGGGGCCUUUUGAAGGUAAUUAGGUUUAGAGGAAGUCGUUAGGAAGAGCCCACAUGAUGAAAUUAGUGCCCUUAUAGGAAGAGGAAGAGACUGGAGAGCUUGCGCUCUCUCUACUGUAAGGAGACAGCAAGAAGGCAUCUAUGUCUCUGCACGCCAGGAAGAGAGAGCACCAGAACCCAACCACGCUGGCACCUUGAUUUUGGACUUCUAGUCUCCAGCACUGGGCCCAUUGUCAGGCCUGAAGCUGGGUAUCUGACCAGGUUGUGCCCUGUCCUACACGGGAGUGGGAACUGCUCUGUACCUAGGCGUCUGCCACUGACUCAGAAGUCCAGUUUCAGGAGCAGUACAGAAACUCCUAUUUUGUACUCCAAAUAAUCCACAAGAAUUAAUUGGAUCACCUCGAAGGAGGAAAGAGAAGCUCAAAGAGAUCAGCAAAUCCACAGGGCGUGAGAUGAAGAGAAGAGAGGACCACAGGCGAGAAAGUGGCAGCAGCAAGAGAAGAUGUACCAUGAGGAAGUUCUGGGAGGUUCUGCCCGUCUUUCUGAGAACAGGGGAGAGACAGAGCUGAGUUACAACUGCACUGCUUCUUAGCUUCUUAGUUUCUCUUCAGAAUUAGUGGCAAAGAAGAGUUUUCGAAGUCUUUAGCAUGUAUUAAACGAAGAAUUUUGUUUAUAAGAAAAAAUUGUGGAUCGUUCCCAUGUUUGUCUGGAAAACUCUUGUUAAACUUUUGUGCAGCUAGUAAAUUAAGUCACUGUUUAUUCUGUGUAGUGGAAAGCAUGCUUAAACUCUA
RNAcentral lists this long non-coding RNA (2954 nucleotides) under Homo sapiens (human). RNAcentral's name for it is "HSALNT0337838". Lineage: Eukaryota; Metazoa; Chordata; Mammalia; Primates; Hominidae. The record is from RNAcentral.